UGUUGUACCCUGACCUCGUCAGAUCUCUGAAGCUAAGCAGGGUUGGGCCUAGUUAGUCAUUGGAUGGGAAACUGCUGGGAAUACCAGAUAACAC
Molecule: ribosomal RNA, 94 nt
Filed under: Periophthalmus magnuspinnatus
Lineage: Eukaryota; Metazoa; Chordata; Actinopteri; Gobiiformes; Gobiidae
Source: RNAcentral